Molecule: ribosomal RNA, 497 nt
Filed under: uncultured bacterium
Lineage: Bacteria
Description: bacterial SSU rRNA
Rfam family: Bacterial small subunit ribosomal RNA
Source: RNAcentral
CGCUGGCGGCGUGCUUAAGACAUGCAAGUCGAACGAGAAAGGGGCUUCGGCCCUGAGUACAGUGGCGCACGGGUGAGUAACGCGUGGGUAAUCUGCCUUCAGGUUCGGGAUAACACGGGGAAACCUGCGCUAAUACCGGGCAAGACCACGGGGUCCUCGGACCCUGCGGCCAAAGGUGGCCUCUUCUUGAAAGCUAUCGCCUGAAGAUGAGCCCGCGUCCCAUUAGCUAGUUGGUGAGGUAACGGCUCACCAAGGCAGUGAUGGGUAGCUGGUCUGAGAGGACGAUCAGCCACACUGGAACUGAGACACGGUCCAGACUCCUACGGGAGGCAGCAGUCGGGAAUUUUGGGCAAUGGGGGCAACCCUGACCCAGCAACGCCGCGUGAGCGAUGAAGGCCUUCGGGUCGUAAAGCUCUGUCGGGAGGGAAGAACUGCCAAUGGGCAAACAGGCCAUUGGUUUGACGGUACCUCCAGAGGAAGCUCCGGCUAACUCCGUG